UUCUGUUCUAAGGGAAGAAACAAAUGACGGUACCUUAGAAGAAAGCCCCGGCAAACUAUGUGCCAGCAGCCGCGGUGAUACAUAGGGGGCAAGCGUUGUCCGGAAUGACUGGGCGUAAAGGGAGUGUAGGCGGUUCUUUAAGUUAAAUGUGAAAUCCUAAGGCUUAACCUUAGAACUGCAUUUAAUACUGGGGAACUUGAGUGUGGGAGAGGUAAGUGGAAUUCCUAGUGUAGCGGUAAAAUGCAUAGAUAUUAGGAGGAACAUCGGAGGCGAAGGCGACUUACUGGAACACAACUGACGCUGAGGCUCGAAAGCGUGGGGAGCAAACAGGAUUAGAUACCCUGGUAGUCCACGCCCUAAACGAUGGAUACUAGAUGUAGGCGGUAUCGACUCCGCCUGUAUCGUAGCUAACGCAAUAAGUAUCCCGCCUGAGUAGUACGGCCGCAAGGUUAAAACUCAAAGAAAUUGACGGGGACCCGCACAAGCAGAGGAGCAUGACGUUUAAUUCGACGCAACGCGAAAAACCUUACCAAGGCUUGACAUCCGCAGAACACCUGAGAAAUCAGAAUGGUCUAGCAAUAGACUGCGAGACAGGUGGUGCAUGGUUGUCGUCAGCUCGUGUCGUGAGAUGUUCGGUUAAGUCCGUCAACGAGCGCAACCCUUGUCACUAGUUGCCAAUAUUUAGUUAGGAACUCUAGUGAGACUGCCGUGGCUAACACGGAGGAAGGUGGGGAUGACGUCAAAUCAUCAUGCCCCUUACGCCUUGGGCUACACUCGUGCUACAAUGGCAGUUACAAAGAGACGCAAUACCGUAAGGUGGAGCAAAUCUCAAAAAGGCUGUCCCAGUUCGGAUUGAGGGCUGCAACCCGCCCUCAUGAAGCUGAAUUUGCUAGUAAUCCCGAAUCAGAAUGUCGGGGUGAAUGCGUUCCCGGGUCUUGUACACACCGCCUGUCAAGCCAUGAGAGUUGAGAGCACCCAAAACCGUUAGCCUAACCGCAAGGGGGGCGGCGUCUAAGGUGAGAUCAAUGAUUGGGGUUAAGUCAUAACAAGGUAGCCGUAUCAGAAGGUGCGGCUG
RNAcentral lists this ribosomal RNA (1075 nucleotides) under human gut metagenome. Its description in RNAcentral is "bacterial SSU rRNA". It matches the Rfam family "Bacterial small subunit ribosomal RNA", at positions 431 to 1520 of the family's 1533-position model. The record is from RNAcentral.